RNAcentral lists this ribosomal RNA (450 nucleotides) under uncultured bacterium. Its description in RNAcentral is "partial 16S ribosomal RNA". It matches the Rfam family "Bacterial small subunit ribosomal RNA", at positions 354 to 796 of the family's 1533-position model. The record is from RNAcentral.
GUGGGGAAUCUUCCGCAAUGGACGAAAGUCUGACGGAGCAACGCCGCGUGAGUGAGGAAGGUUUUCGGAUCGUAAAGCUCUUUCGUUAGGGACGAACGUGCUCUUUGUGAAUAAUGAGGAGUAAUGACGGUACCUAAAUAAGAAGCCACGGCUAACUACGUGCCAGCAGCCGCGGUAAGACGUAGGUGGCAAGCGUUGUCCGGAAUUAUUGGGCGUAAAGCGCGCGCAGGCGGGAUAUCAAGUCUGUCUUAAAAGUGCGAGGCUCAACCUCGUGAGGGGACAGAAACUGGUAUUCUUGAGUGUCGGAGAGGAAAGUGGAAUUCCAAGUGUAGCGGUGAAAUGCGUAGAGAUUUGGAAGAACACCAGUGGCGAAGGCGACUUUCUGGACGAUGUCUGACGCUGAGGCGCGAAAGCUAGGGGAGCGAACGGGAUUAGAAACCCUAGUAGUCC